Molecule: ribosomal RNA, 224 nt
Filed under: Plasmodium falciparum (malaria parasite P. falciparum)
Lineage: Eukaryota; Apicomplexa; Aconoidasida; Haemosporida; Plasmodiidae
Description: partial small subunit ribosomal RNA
Rfam family: Eukaryotic small subunit ribosomal RNA
Source: RNAcentral
GGAACUGCGAACGGCUCAUUAAAACAGUUAUAGUCUACUUGACAUUUUUAUUAUAAGGAUAACUACGGAAAAGCUGUAGCUAAUACUUGCUUUAUUAUCCUUUGAUUUUUAUCUUUGGAUAAGUAUUUGUUAGGCCUUAUAAGAAAAAAGUUAUUAACUUAAGGAAUUAUAACAAAGAAGUAACACGUAAUAAAUUUAUUUUAUUUAGUGUGUAUCAAUCGGGU